UACAUAGGUCCCAAGCGUUAUCCGGAAUUACUGGGCGUAAAGCGUCUGCAGGUUGAAAAGUGUGUGAGAUGUGAAAGACCGGGGCUCAACCCCGCGUUUGUGUCUCAAACUGCUUUUCUCGAGUGAGCAAGAGGUAUGCGGAAUUUAUGGAGUAGGAGUGCAAUCCGUUGACACCAUAAAGAACACCAAAAGCGAAGGCAGCAUACUGGGGCUCUACUGACACUCAGAGACGAAAGCGUGGGGAGCGAAAGGG
Molecule: ribosomal RNA, 253 nt
Filed under: uncultured bacterium
Lineage: Bacteria
Description: partial 16S ribosomal RNA
Rfam family: Bacterial small subunit ribosomal RNA
Source: RNAcentral